RNAcentral lists this ribosomal RNA (253 nucleotides) under uncultured bacterium. RNAcentral describes it as "partial 16S ribosomal RNA". It matches the Rfam family "Bacterial small subunit ribosomal RNA", at positions 524 to 776 of the family's 1533-position model. The record is from RNAcentral.
UACGAAGGGGGCUAGCGUUGCUCGGAAUUACUGGGCGUAAAGCGCACGUAGGCGGUCUUUUAAGUCGGGGGUGAAAUCCUGGAGCUCAACUCCAGAACUGCCUUCGAUACUGGAGGACUUGAGUCCGGGAGAGGUGAGUGGAACUGCGAGUGUAGAGGUGAAAUUCGUAGAUAUUCGCAAGAACACCAGUGGCGAAGGCGGCUCACUGGCCCGGUACUGACGCUGAGGAGCGAAAGCGUGGGGAGCGAACAGG